CUUUAUUGUUAUGUUGUAAAUAACUAACGAAAACCAAGUUUAAACAAAAUAGCUUAACCAUAUGACAUUUAUACUUAUAUUGUUUAUAUAUAUUAUGUUCCCUUCAUUUCAUAAUUGGUUAUCAAUGAUAGCAGAUGGUACAUUUCCGCCUAUCCCAUAUAUAUUAAAUACUGUCACCAAAAAACGUCCACCCUUGUAUCUUUGACGGUGAUGUAUAAUUCUUGUUUUAUAAGAUAACGAGUAUGUUUGAACUCAAUCAUAUUCGUCUAAUUCUAC
This 276-nucleotide long non-coding RNA is filed under the name Mytilus galloprovincialis (Mediterranean mussel). Lineage: Eukaryota; Metazoa; Mollusca; Bivalvia; Mytilida; Mytilidae. The record is from RNAcentral.